AAGCGAAUAAGUGCACAUGGUGGAUGCCUUGGCAGUCAUAGGCGAUGAAGGACGUGGUAGCCUGCGAAAAGCUACGGGGAGCUGGCAAACAAGCUUUGAGCCGUAGAUGUCCGAAUGGGGAAACCCACCCUUUUAGGGGUAUCGCACAGUGAAUACAUAGCUGUGCGAGGCGAACCUGGAGAACUGAAACAUCUAAGUACCCAGAGGAAAAGAAAUCAACCGAGAUUCCGAGAGUAGUGGCGAGCGAAAUUGGAACAGCCUGUACGAUUUAGCAUUUGAGUUAACAAAACGGUCUUGAAAGUCCGGCCAUAGAAGGUGAUAGCCCUGUAUGUGAAAACUCGAUUGUGGAACUAGGCGUACGACAAGUAGGGCGGGGCACGAGAAACCCUGUCUGAACAUGGGGGGACCAUCCUCCAAGGCUAAAUACUCAUGACUGACCGAUAGUGAACUAGUACCGUGAGGGAAAGGUGAAAAGAACCCCGGGAGGGGAGUGAAAUAGAUCCUGAAACCGUGUGCAUACAAACAGUCGGAGCGGACUUGUUCCGUGACGGCGUACCUUUUGUAUAAUGGGUCAGCGACUUACAUUCAGUGGCAAGCUUAACCGAGUAGGGAAGGCGUAGCGAAAGCGAGUCCGAAUAGGGCGUCUAGUCGCUGGGUGUAGACCCGAAACCAGAUGAUCUAUCCAUGGCCAGGUUGAAGCGACGGUAAGACGUCGUGGAGGACCGAACCCACUUAGGUUGAAAACUGAGGGGAUGAGCUGUGGGUAGGGGUGAAAGGCCAAUCAAACUCCGUGAUAGCUGGUUCUCCCCGAAAUGCAUUUAGGUGCAGCGUCACGUGUUUCUUGCCGGAGGUAGAGCACUGGAUAGCUAAUGGGCCUUACCAGGUUACU
RNAcentral lists this ribosomal RNA (889 nucleotides) under Ditylum brightwellii. RNAcentral's name for it is "partial Bacterial large subunit ribosomal RNA". It matches the Rfam family "Bacterial large subunit ribosomal RNA", at positions 1 to 940 of the family's 2925-position model. Lineage: Eukaryota; Bacillariophyta; Thalassiosirophyceae; Lithodesmiales; Lithodesmiaceae. The record is from RNAcentral.